GAUGAACGCUGGCGGCGUGCUUAACACAUGCAAGUCGAGCGAUGAAGUUUUCGUCGGGAAACGGAUUAGCGGCGGACGGGUGAGUAACACGUGGGUAACCUGCCUACUAGAGUGGAAUAGCGUAUCGAAGGGAAGAUUAAUAGCGCAUAAUGUUGAAGGAUGGCAUCAUCAUUCAACCAAAGGAGCAAGCUGCUAUGGGAUGGACCCGCGGCGCAUUAGCUAGUUGGUGGGGUAACGGCCUACCAAGGCGACGAUGCGUAGCCGACCUGAGAGGGUGAUCGGCCACAUUGGGACUGAGACACGGCCCAGACUCCUACGGGAGGCAGCAGUGGGGAAUAUUGCACAAUGGGGGAAACCCUGAUGCAGCAACGCCGCGUGAGUGAUGAAGGUUUUCGGAUCGUAAAGCUCUGUCUUUGGGGAAGAUAAUGACGGUACCCAAGGAGGAAGCCACGGCUAACUACGUGCCAGCCGCCGCCGUAA
This 480-nucleotide ribosomal RNA is filed under the name uncultured bacterium. RNAcentral's name for it is "partial 16S ribosomal RNA". It matches the Rfam family "Bacterial small subunit ribosomal RNA", at positions 28 to 523 of the family's 1533-position model. The record is from RNAcentral.